RNAcentral lists this ribosomal RNA (433 nucleotides) under uncultured bacterium. Its description in RNAcentral is "partial 16S ribosomal RNA". It matches the Rfam family "Bacterial small subunit ribosomal RNA", at positions 29 to 507 of the family's 1533-position model. The record is from RNAcentral.
AACGAACGCUGGCGGCAUGCCUAACACAUGCAAGUCGAACGACACCUUCGGGCCUAGGGGCGCACGGGUGCGUAACGCGUGGGAACCUGCCCUUAGGAUCGGAACAACUCCCCGAAAAGGGUUCUAAUCACCGAUAAUGUCUUCGGGCUAAAGAUUCAUCGCCUUUGGGUGGGCCCGCGCUGGAUUAGCUAGUUGGUAGUGUAAAAGCCUACCAAGGCGACGAUUCAUAGCUGGUCUGAGAGGAUGACCAGCCACACUGGGACUGAGACACGGCCCAGACUCCUACGGGAGGCAGCAGUGGGGAAUAUUGGACAAUGCGCGAAAGCCGGAUCCAGCAAUGCCGCGUGAGUGAUGAAGGCCUUAGGGUUGUAAAGCUCUUUUGCCCGGGAUGAUAAUGACAGUCCCGGGAGAAUAAGCUCGGGCUAACUCCGUG